GAGCGACGCGGAUUGGGCGGAGGCCUCCGUGGGGGUCACCGAGGAGGUGGUCGCCUACGCGUGGGAUGCCACUUCCCCCUCCUCCCCGGCGAUGCCGACUCUGGUGAUUUCGACAUGACUGAUGCGCAGCAGGACCAGGUGCUGGCCGUCGAGGGCGCGGCGCCAGAGCUGGCUGAUCUACGGAUCGAGCUCUACCCUAGCCACAUGAGCGAGGGCUGCUUCUGAAAAAUAUACUUCGUGCUGCGGCAUACUAAGCUCAUGAAGGAGGCUGCCGAGGUUCUGUCGACUCCACAGGUGAAUUUCUUGGCAUAAGUUCAUUGAGUUAGCCAUAUGAGCUCACUAAGUUAGCAUCCUUCCAUGAUCCAAUAAUAAAUUCACUUGGAUGAAUGACAGCAUAAAAUGUGUUAGCUCAGUGUUUUUUUUUUCAGAUUACUUCAGUGAAAACCAGCGCAAGUUCACAAGGUCAGCUUGAGGUUCAAUUUUUUUUUCUCAUGCACCUCUACAAUUUCUGAUCUAAGAGCACUCGUGUGAUAAUUGAUACCAUCCUCAUCUUUUUAUUUGAUUUGACCCAGGUUUUGGGUUCCAUGUGUUGUUCGUAUUAAACUUUCUAGCUUGAUUUAAUUUUGUAGCUUCAGACUUGCGAGUGAAUGGUAGGCUGAUUUUUCAUACUAACCAUUUGGUGGUAGAGUGAUAAGUAGUCAUUAACUAGAUUCAACAUUCUCUAUUAGCAACUAUAUAGACUUGUUCAUUAGCACCCCUUUAUAAUGUAUACUAUAUCCCAAUAUCUGUAGGCCGCAUCUAAUGGAAUUUGGAUUUCACAAAUGGUGGCUAAUUGCAUGAAAACAAACUGUAAGUCUUCAGACUUGAUUUUGUUUGGAUAUAAACAGCUAUGGAGACAAUACUUUCAGAAUGUUACUUCAGUGAUAUUUGGUUUAUGGGAUUAUGGUGCAAAGUACAAAUAAAAAACUGCACACUCUAGAAUUAGUACAUGGAGUACAAUUAGAUACAUGUAGGUGCUUCUUGUUAUUAGCGACGGGAGGUCACAUAGUGCUUCUAGCUGAACAUUGUAUCACAAUGACAACAUCAAUUGGAGAGAACAGGGAGGGAACAAGUUGACCAAUCCCUACAUUAGCGAGAAAUCUGUACAAAUCUAUUCUAACAUUCAAUCACACUUUCAUUAAUCAAUAAUGCUACAUCUCUGGAACUUCACUGAUCCAGAUUGUUCAUUCAACUGCUUUUAAAGUGUUCUCCUCUGAAAUACAUCUGAAAUCUGUUCCGAGUAGAAUCGCGAGUCAUUAUUUUUACCUAACAGUUCAUAUUAUGUCUAGAGUUUUACCCUGAUGUCUGAAUAGCAUGCAAUCCUGCCUUUUAAGGACAUCAUCUAUUGUGCAUAUAGGUGCUCCUGAAGCCCCCAUUGCCAUCCGAAAACCCCUAAAGCUGAGACAAUAUGGUCGAAUAUUCAAGGGGCGUGUAUCUUUUGAGCGUGUAGGGGCUCCUGGAUUAUAGUGCUAUAGGUGGUUCUGAAUUUAGUGUUGAUCUGAGGCAAAUGCACUUGAGAAUAUAUAGUUCCUCUUUGGUUUUUGAUUAUGUUUGGAUCUCAUCUUGAUCUUAUUUUCACCGAGGGCUAAAUAUUCUAAGUUGCUUAUGCGGGUUAGCUGACAGCCUUGACUACUGUCCAAAAAAUCAAAUGAGUCUUCAGAAAUAUUGUCAAAAUAUGAAUGUUUUGAAGAUAUUUAUCCGCACCCGCAUCCACAUGUUGCGGCAUCACUGUUGGCACCACCAUGCAGCAAUGGAAGGAGGACAACACCGUGCAAGGGUAUGUAUAUAUUGCUAAUUGUCCAGAGAAAUGUGUGAUUCGUUCAUGGUACAAGCCUGUGGUCAAAAGUGUUCUUUGGUGGAUUUGGCUUAUCAUAUAAACUGCCAUUUGAUAGAAUGGUGGUGCUUAGCAGAUCAUCGGAGAUGGUGAACAAGCGCUAGCGCUGAGAUGAUUGAGAAAUAGCAGCCCUCGGAUGAUGGAGAAGUAGCAGCCCACCAUGACCUACCAGGCAUGUAGGAGGGAUGCCCAUGUGAUUGGAUUUUCUUAAUUUUUCUAUCGCAAAUUUGAAGUGGUAUGUGCCUGGUUAUUUAGUUCGAUAGAAGCUAAAUCAUCAUGUCCAAUGCUCUAAGAGUUGGAUACAUUACCACCACUAUAGACGCCUUCAUUAGACGAUAUUCAUGCGUGUUCACCUGCGGCUGCAGUGGCAUGGAGGUAAUACAAAAAUUUUGUUUUCUAUUUUUGUGUCAUGCCCUCCUCUAAUCAUAUCUGUACAUAAAGUGGUAUAAUUACUACAUCAAUUUUUGUCCAGCAUUGCAGCAUGGUUAGUUAGAAAAAUAUAUAUUCUUCAUCUCUUCCCUCUUCUACUAAAUACAUUUCUAAACAACAAGAUUAUUAUCCCAAUUCUCAGCAAACCAUUCAUGUUGUUUCUGACCAACACAAUUAUUGUUCACCUUCCUGUAGCUAUGGUUAUUAUGUGUUCAUGAUCUGGGUUGGAGGGAAGCUAGAGGCCAAAACUAUUUGUUAUUGUAGUUUUUCUAUAGUUUCUUGCUCUUUUGUGCUUCUUCUCCCUUUUGUAGGACCUGCUAUUAGCUUCUUUGGUUUCAAAGCUCGUGCUUUGGUCUUGUAAUUUUAAUCCUAUAAAUAUUAUAUUAUGUGAUUUAUGCAAUAAAAUGUGGAAAAUCAGUUAGUGUUUUGUUGUCAAUCGAAGGUUAUUCUCUAGAAAACUUGUGCUUAGAGAUCUCUGAAAUAAUUAUCGGAAUUGUUCAUCGUGUUUUCUCUUGCUCCGUAAAACAGUGCCAAUGAUGGAUUAAAGAAAGCCUUGAGUGAUUAAUAUUUAGUUUUCAAGGUAAUGUAACUAUUCUGUAAGUUAUAACAAUUCUAUUCCAUGAUGUAAUGAAUGGAUAAAGCAUUGAUAUAUAUUUAACAUUUUUCCAGGAACAUACUGCAAUUUGACAGUUCUAACUUUCUUUGAAUCUAUGCAUGCAUAAUAGGGAUUAUGGUAUCUGUUUGAUCCCCUGUCUGAUCCCCUCAACUGUGCAUCCACGCCUGGUUUUCCAAAUGGGAAUGAAGCAUAUGUGCUGGUGAGGACUAAGAGUUAUCUGGAAUUUCAAGCUUGAAGCAUUUCGCCCAUUUUUGUUCUACACACUUUACAGUUGUACCACUGCCCCCGUUUGCAAUUUGCUAUGUACUAAUUCAUACAACUUAGAUGGCUUGGGUAAUAUGAUUGCUUUUUAAGAAAGUUGUAUUAUGAACCCACCCAAGUUAAUUCUAAUGCCGUGGUAUAUGAGAUAUCUGGUGUCCUGAUUC
Panicum virgatum (switchgrass) is the source of this 3343-nucleotide long non-coding RNA. RefSeq lists it as uncharacterized. The transcript is spliced from 3 exons. Lineage: Eukaryota; Viridiplantae; Streptophyta; Magnoliopsida; Poales; Poaceae. The record is from RefSeq and is a predicted model, not a curated record.